GAAUAAUCUCAUAUUUUAUGCCAAAGAUGAGGAUAUAUUCAACUGAUAUAUGACGAGUAUAUGCACAAUAAAGCCUGAAGUAGCCUUGCAGGAAUUCUUAUUUUAGCAGCAGGACCAAGAGCUAGCUGCAACAUACAGCUUUUGCCAAUUCAAAAAACAAAGCACACACAUUCUGUAACACAAACAUACUGAUCUUACAAAAUCCAGGAUUUUUUUGGACUCUAUGAAUUGGAAACACAUCUGAAUUUCAGUCAUCCUCAUCUUCCCCCUCCUCGUCCUCAUCCUCAUCCUCCUGCAUAUAUAAAAAAAAAACAAGUUAUAUCGGGAUCAAAUAAACAAGCAGCAAAAUAUUAAAAAUAGCAAUGUGCUGGUACUAGCUGAAAGUGCUGAACAAAUUUCUGAGCUCAUGAAACACAUCAUGGAAUAAGUGGAGUCAAUCUACCCAUCAUACAGAACCCAAAAUCAUUACUAAUACCAACCCAGGAAGUGAAGUUAAAUAAUUUAAUAUAAUUAACCAUUUGGGAAUUAUCAUAUAAUUCAGGCAAAUCCUCAUGGAAAUUAAGCAGGUAGACCAGGACCUUAUGCUGAUGAAACCUUAAAUAAAUGCUGCAGAGUCCAAUACUAAGAACCAAAGUCACCAAUAUAGCCAUUGGGUUAGUAGCUGAGUAGUCAAAUGUCCACCUUGUAAUAUAGGAAUUCAGGGGUGCAAAGUGCAAACCCUGACGGUCACAAGCAAUCCUAAAACGCAAGAGUGAAGACCUCUUCAAUUUUGAUCGUGUAAAAGAAUGAAAAGUGCACAUUUAGAUGAUGGAUAGUUCAAUCCAAUAAAAAAAAAAUGAUAGUGUCAUAGAAUUUAGAGUUCAAACACUGGCAGAUGUCAGACAUCAAUGGGUGACAAAAAGUAUUACCUCUGCACUCUCCUCAUCAUCACUCACUUCAGAUUUGGAUUUCUCAGACUCUUCAUUACCAUCAUCAUCAUCUGAACUUUCCUGUUUCUUGUUGUAGGCAGUCAUAAGCUUAUCAUAUUCUGAUUUCCUUUUGGCUGAUUUGGCUUCGUAAGGAGCUUUCUCCUGACAUAUCCAAGCAGAAGAGAAAUUUAAUGAGUGACGCAUUUUUAACGCAAGCUAGCUAAUUCAAAUAAUCAUAUAUUUGCUACAUGUCCACCAAUUAUUCCUUUUAAAUCGUCAGGCACUAUGCAGUGUGAGCAUUCAGGACACUGUAGUCUACAGCUCACUACUAGCAUUGGCUGCUUGUGCUUGGCUAUGCUAAGAAGUCCCAAUUUCACCCAACAUUUGCUUAGUGCAUAUAAUGCAAGGUCUAAGAACCUUACAAGUAGCAUCCAUACGAUUUUCUAAGAUUAAAGUAUCCAAUUUCAGUAGGACGCCGCACAAUUUGUUGUGCUUAAGAGAUCCAUUCAAAUCAAAUUCAAGAUGCUGAAAAGAGGUAUUUUAGUACUUACUGCAUUAGACAGAGAUUUCCAUUUCUCUCCUCCAGCUUUUGCCACCUUCAAUCACAUGAUCAAGUAACCAAAAUGAUCUAUCGAAGUCUAAAGCAACUUAGUACUAACAAACAAUACACUAAGUGUAUGUUUGGUUCAAUGUAAUUGAUCAUAAUGAAAUGAUUUCUUAGUUCAUUAUUGCAUCAAAAUUUUUAGUUGAUUACAUUUCAUUAUGUUCAAUUACAUCAUAUCAAACAUACACAAAGUUCAUCAGCAGCUUACAGCUGAGACGGCCUUCACGUUGGGGUGCUCUUGUUUGUAAGUCUUUCUAAACUCUUCUCUAUAUGUAUUUAAAUCACACUAUCAUUAGUAAAACUUCUAUGUAGAAAACCAAACCAUUCUACAAUUAAGAUAAGACUUACAGAAAGACGAAAAAAGCACUUGGAGGCCUCUUUGGCUUGUUAGGAUCAUUCUUCCCAACUUUAUCUUUGUUUGCCGGUUUUUUGCUACUCUUAUUAACCUUUAAAGCAGCUUUUCGCUUUCCAACUUUCCUAUCAUCUACAGGCUUUAAUACUUCCUUCUUGUCCUUCCUGGGUUCCCUCUUUCCUUUGGCAAUUUUCAUGGCUAGAAGCCUAGCACCAGUAUUCCAAAUAUAACAAUGAUAUGAUCAAGUAAAUAAUGAGCUUAGAUUUGGCUAUGGCUUGAUCCCCAUGAUUGUAAUCAUAUAAUACUUUAUAUAUUUAAAUAUAUGAUUAAAGAAAGCACCAAUUUAAUAAUCAUAAAAUCACAUAAUAAAGAUGAUGAGAAAGAGGAUCACAUAUUAUUAUAACACCCCAAGGGAAAAUCUAAACAAUAACUAAGCUUUAAUCUCAAACUAAUGAAAUCGACCAUUCAGCAUCCAUAUCAAAAAUUAUAAAUCUAAAGAAAAAAUCAAACAAGUGGGGAAAAAUCAAGUAAAAAAAUAUAAGAAAAAGAAUCGUAUAACAAUCAACCAAUAGUAAACCCAAAUCAGAACUUGUAUGAAGCAAACAAAGUUGAAAGAAUCAGUUACCUCUUCAGUAGAAAAGCUUUGAAAGAACAGGCAGAAACAUAAACAGAGCAAAGCAAAGUAAAAGCAGAGAUGAAGAGAGAGAGAGAGGGAGAGAUGCGGAGAAGAUAUUUGAGGUGGGGACAGAAACGGAAACGUGUGAACUGUUUGGUACAAGCAAGGGUCGAAGAAAAUGAUUUGUCGGGCAGUGAUCGAGUUACCAGGAGAGGAUCUAAGCUUCCUCACUUGAUGGAUUUUGAUUGGCUCAUGUGAUGCCCAGUCUAGCUUAAAGCCAGAGUAUGAUCGUCACAGGUCUUGUGUCCUG
This 2790-nucleotide unclassified non-coding RNA is filed under the name Hevea brasiliensis (rubber tree). The record is from RNAcentral. Lineage: Eukaryota; Viridiplantae; Streptophyta; Magnoliopsida; Malpighiales; Euphorbiaceae.